This is a non-coding RNA of Camelina sativa (false flax), 2439 nucleotides long. Lineage: Eukaryota; Viridiplantae; Streptophyta; Magnoliopsida; Brassicales; Brassicaceae. The record is from RefSeq and is a predicted model, not a curated record.
UUUUCUGUACUACAAAAACAGAAAACAUAACUUUUUUAAAAAAAAACCCCAAACAUAUCCCUCGAGACUCUCAUCUCCUCUCACAAACCUUGCUCUAGAUCUUGUUUCCGGCGAAUCUCUGUUUGCUUCAUCCAUGCGCUUUCCUUGUCAUUUUCUCCCUCAUGCUCUUGUUCUUUUUAAUCUCGGAUUUUUCUUUGUUCCUCUUUCUAGAUUUCACUAGCAUGAGCUUCUUCUUAAUUUUCGGUUUUCUGAUUUUUGACACUUCUUUUUAUACUUAGGUUCUUUUGUGCGAAGUUUAUGUCUUUAAUCUCCUCUUUGACGAAAUCCAGCUUGCCCCAUGCGUGUGCUUUUGCGCGAGAUUCAUGUCAAUCUCUUUAUCUAUGAUUUUCUGCUCAUCCCACCAAGGCAGUUUCCUCUUGCAGUUAAUACCUUCCCUUUGUCUCUCUUCAACCUCAACUGAUUUCUCAGGGUCUUUUUCUUGCAAAUUGUUUUGUGUAGAAUUCUUAUCUCCUGAGCUCUCUCUCUCUCUCUCGAUGCUUUUCAGCUCAAUCAAUAAAGUCUUAUGAGAUGGGCAUUUGGUUGGAUCAAAGUAUUGAGUCUCACUCUCACUAAAGUCUCUUUUCUCCUCUCGUCUCAACGUUUCGUGAGCCUUCCCCACAUCUGCCUCUUGUUUCUCAUUACCUUUCUUUAUGCCCAUAUCAGCUGCAUCUUCAAGCAGCCAUUGUUCCUUCUUAGCUAAGCUUUUGUCUCUCUGUUUGGUAUCUUCUUUAACCCCCGUUUUAUGCUUCUCAACUUUUUUGACUUGUGUCAUCACAUUUUCCAUCAAUAAGCUCAGUCUCUCUCUUGAUAGUGACUGAACUUUUCUCUUUUCUAACCUUGGCUUCAUCAUGGAUGUAUCCUUUUAUCUCAGACUUCUCCCUCUUGGUUUGAUGACCAACAAGUUUGUAGACCUUCUUUUCAAAACCUUCGCUUGGAUUGAAAAUUUUUUGAUUUAUGAAUUUUGGUUUCAGGCGGUCUCCCAUCAAAUAAUUGAUGUUUCUUUUGUGGCCCAUUGGCUGAUUCUCCCUCAUAAGUGCAUUUAAUUUUACAAAUUCAACAUCCUCACAGCCUUUAUCAACAACUCCAGGUCUUGUUACCUUUUUAGUGCUCUUUGUACCCUUCUUCUUUUGGUUUCUCGAACUUAAUGCAAAUACCAUCCAUCUGACAUAUGAACUUCCACUAUCUGUUUUCCUUCUUGAUUCAUAAUUAUACAACUUAGCUCUUUGAACAUGACUUUGCAGUCAUUUUCUAUCAUGUGUUGCAUGCUUAGGUAGUUGUGAGUUAGACUAGGUACUAAAAGAACAUCCUUCUUGUUCCUCCUUCCCGAUUCUGUUAUUACAGAGAUAAUACCUUUUCCUUGCGCCUGAACUAUCUCACCACUUCCCAGAUUUAGCCAGGCCCUUGUGUUAGUGUCUAAUUCAGUAAACCAGCUUUUGUCAUUGACCAUAUGACUUUUAGCUCUACUAUAUAUCACCCAAAUAUCUUUAUCGAUUUCAUCUUGAGCAUCUGUGGCAGUGAAUGAACUUUCUUGUUGAUUGUUUGUCUUUGGAGCUUGUGUCAUUGACCCUUUUGAAUCUUCUUGAAAUUUCAUCUUCAACACAUCCCACGCAUCUUUUGAGGUCUCAACAACUGAAAGAUUCUCAAAUUUCCAGGUCAUCAAGAACUUGAAGCUCUGAUACCAUGUUCGAUAGUGCAAAGUUUAGCCGCUCAACACUUAUCCUUCUUACUUUCUUAAUUGUAACCUUACAACCACUACACAUAUUUAUAGUAGUUUUAACCUUACCCUAAUUAGUGUUUCACUUACACCAAAAAACCCAUUAACAUAUAUGGGCUCAAUUAACACAAAUGGCCCAAAAAGCCUUUUUCUUCCCUUGACCAUUCCUUUCAUGUUGACUCUUCUUCUUCUCUUUAUUCUCUUUCACAAAUACAACUUCUUCUCUUCUUACUCUUCAACAUCUUCUUCCUCCCAAGUCAUUUGUUCCUUUUUAAGCAAAGGAUAAAUUUCCAACAAACAGAUGUUAGGUAUGGGGAGAAUCAGGGUUCCUGGAGAACGCCAACACAGCCGAAGGCCAAUCUCAGAACAUCGGUCUUAAAACUAAGGAAAAAGACGAGAAGGAACUCUUCAUCCAAAAGAAGAACGGGAGCACGCAAGCCAUUCCUCCCAAGGUCAAAAUGCCAACAACUAAACCACUCUAGAGGACUAGGAACAACCAACAAUGAGAGAUGAGAGCAUUGCAUUACCAACUUUAUUCUGCGAAUGGAUAAAGAUAACAGCUAAAAUCGCCUUAAGCUCAGACGUAUCAAAGUUAAAUUUUAAUCUAGCUUCACCUCCUGUCCAAUGGUAAAUGACCCCAAGGUCAAUAUUUCUAAGACCCGAUCAUCAAGAUACGUGUUGGUGUA